AAUCAGUAAAUUUUUUAAUACCUUUUGCUCCAAUGGUUUAGAAUUUUUCAGGAUGUUAAAAAUGUAUCUUACAAUAUUGAAUAAUUAAAUUUGUUAUUCAUGAUAAUGUAGUAGAUGCAUAGAUCUUAGCGAACUAUUCUCUUCUCAGAACAGAUAAACUAAACGUAGAGUAGAAACAUCUAGCUAGCUAUUAUUCUAGUAUAUUCUAAUCAUCAUUGAUAAUAAUAGCUAUUAGGUUAUUAUUUUUUAAAA
RNAcentral lists this long non-coding RNA (252 nucleotides) under Setaria viridis. Its description in RNAcentral is "long non-coding RNA (SVIR_LNC003598)". Lineage: Eukaryota; Viridiplantae; Streptophyta; Magnoliopsida; Poales; Poaceae. The record is from RNAcentral.